Molecule: ribosomal RNA, 446 nt
Filed under: uncultured bacterium
Lineage: Bacteria
Description: partial 16S ribosomal RNA
Rfam family: Bacterial small subunit ribosomal RNA
Source: RNAcentral
GUGAGGAAUAUUGGUCAAUGGAGGCAACUCUGAACCAGCCAUGCCGCGUGCAGGAAGACGGUCCUAUGGAUUGUAAACUGCUUUUAUUUAGGAAUAAACCCCCGGUCGUGCACCGGGGCUGAAUGUACUAAAAGAAUAAGCACCGGCUAACUCCGUGCCAGCAGCCGCGGUAAUACGGAGGGUGCAAGCGUUAUCCGGAAUCAUUGGGUUUAAAGGGUCCGCAGGCGGGUAAAUAAGUCAGAGGUGAAAUCCGGCAGCUCAACUGUCGCACUGCCUUUGAUACUGUUUAUCUUGAAUUUUAGUGGAGUGGGCGGAAUAUGUCAUGUAGCGGUGAAAUGCUUAGAUAUGACGUGGAACACCGAUAGCGAAGGCAGCUCACUAACUAUGAAUUGACGCUCAUGGACGAAAGCGUGGGUAGCAAACAGGAUUAGAAACCCCAGUAGUCC